GGUGGUGUAGCCAAGUGGUUAGGCCGCGGUCUGCAAAACCGCUCACGCCGGUUCAAUUCCGGCCGCCACCUCCA
RNAcentral lists this transfer RNA (74 nucleotides) under Bdellovibrio bacteriovorus. Its description in RNAcentral is "tRNA-Cys". It matches the Rfam family "tRNA". Rfam says of the family: Transfer RNA (tRNA) molecules are approximately 80 nucleotides in length. The record is from RNAcentral. Lineage: Bacteria; Pseudomonadati; Bdellovibrionota; Bdellovibrionia; Bdellovibrionales; Pseudobdellovibrionaceae. RNAcentral also lists the same sequence under 5 other names.